RNAcentral lists this ribosomal RNA (253 nucleotides) under uncultured bacterium. RNAcentral describes it as "partial 16S ribosomal RNA". It matches the Rfam family "Bacterial small subunit ribosomal RNA", at positions 524 to 776 of the family's 1533-position model. The record is from RNAcentral.
UACGUAGGGUGCGAGCGUUAAUCGGAAUUAUUGGGCGUAAAGAGCUCGUAGGCGGCUUGUCACGUCGAUUGUGAAAGCCCGAGGCUUAACCUCGGGUCUGCAGUCGAUACGGGCUAGCUAGAGUGUGGUAGGGGAGAUCGGAAUUCCUGGUGUAGCGGUGAAAUGCGCAGAUAUCAGGAGGAACACCGGUGGCGAAGGCGGAUCUCUGGGCCAUUACUGACGCUGAGGAGCGAAAGCGUGGGGAGCGAACAGG